Long non-coding RNA from Aegilops tauschii subsp. strangulata, 2484 nucleotides. RefSeq lists it as uncharacterized. The record is from RefSeq and is a predicted model, not a curated record. NCBI's taxonomy places the organism in Eukaryota, Viridiplantae, Streptophyta, Magnoliopsida, Poales, Poaceae.
UUCUUUCGCCUUCGCACGCAUGUCUCCUCCUCUCCUCCUUUCCCAGUGGUGCACGCCUCCUCCUCCCAUUCCUUCUCCCUUGUCCCAGCGGCCCUCAAUCUCCCACCACGACCGCUCGAGAACGACGGCGACGAGGAGGCCCGACCCUUGGCGCAGACCCGUGCCCCCGAGGGGCAGUGACGUCAGAUCUCUCCGUCUGGCGAGGCCAGCCAUCCCAUCCGUGCCGCGAUGUCCCCAGUAUGGAAGCCCGGGCUGGGGCAGCCAACGCGGCGUCUUGUGCGCCGGAGGGGGCUCUGGCGACCGCGCGGCAGGGGACUGCACGGCGUCUGGUCGUGGGUUCCGGCGACGGCAAGCCGUAGAUCUGAGCCGCCGUCUCCACUUCCUCCUUCCUCACUUGAAGAUGCUUUGGCAGGGAUCCUCCAUAUCAAGGGAAGAGCGGGGUAGUGUGGGCGAGGAAAGUCCUUGUGUACCAGGUUUCUGAAAGAAACAGAAAAGGAAACAAGAUGCAGUAAAAUUUAGAUCCUUUGAAGGUAGUGCUAUUGUUGAAUCUUGAUUCUUGAUGCUAUGGAUAUUAUCUGCUUUCAACCCCACCCUGUACUACUCACCAGUAUAUAUUGCCUCUGGGUUAUGGGACUUGUCGGCGCAACCUAUCAUCUGAUAAAAUAUAUCAACCUGGGGGAAUAUACUUGUGCUGGAUUGUUUGAGACAUCAGAUAAGCCCAUGCUGCUGUAAAUUUUGCUCAUCUAUUGACGAGGGUAGGAAAUAGUCAGGGGCCUCCUCAUCUUUCAUGUUAUAUCACUUCUUUACGCUUCCACGGCGUAACUCCUUAUUUGUUCGCCGACAGUGGACAUUAUUUUGUCUGAUCUCCUGUGUCGAAGUAUGGUGGUUUUACUUUUCUUGUUACAUGUGAUACAAUUACUUGAGAUGUCCACGGUUAAUUAUCUUAAUAAGAGACAGCAAACACAAAACACAUCCAGUGUGCCCAUUAACGCCAUCCAAAUAAUAAUAUGACUAAUCUGCACAUGUAGUUUCAAAAUGGGAACCACCCAGUAAAAGCUCCUAUCUCUGAACCUAACCAAUAGCCAGUCUUGGUUUGAUUGCCUUGUAGAAGAUGUUAUCCUCUCACUAGCAAAUCCUCGACCCAUCCGGUGGAUCGAAGGACACAAAGCGGAUCUUCGUGCUAAGCACAUCUAGGAAUCUGUAUGUUGGGCAGGUAAAGUUCAGGCUUCAUACUUUGCCUCAUAGUACCACAUGAAUGUGUCCUACGCGCAUACAAAUAUUUUGUGUUGGGAGCCCAAAAGAUAGCAGUAUCACAUGGAUAUGACGUCAUUAACUGGUACACCUAUUAGUGUCAAAUUUCACAAGGUCAAUAGAAUUCUUAACCCUUAACAGACAUUGUUCCAUGUUUGCAAAGAAACGUUGAACAACUUCGGAGAAAAGUUGGACCGCGAAAUCCAUGGUGUAUAACUGGUAUUUUUUGUCGAGAAUGUAUAACUAGUAUUUCCUUGCUAUAUGUAUUUCUAUCAUGAAAAGGGCUCUGUUGGAAACCGUAGAAUAAUACAUGCAUGCACAAAGAGUCAGUGUUGAAUCUUCAAUAUAUUGUAGGACUAAUGUAAUUAGAUGACAUCAGUGUUAUCUGCCGGUGUGCUGCAAGGUUUAGAUGAGGUGGACUCUGAAUCUGUGUCACUGAGCUUGAGGAGAGUAAUGCACUGGUCGUAGCCAUUGUAGCACCAGGUGGUAGGACCAAAACAUUUGCAUCUGCUGUUAUUGACAUGGUUGGAUCUUCAGGCUGGAAGCUUGCGUUAGUCGCAGCAAGGAUUACCAGCAGCAGCAACCAACCUGCAGAGAUGAAACUGCAUCACUACUAAUGCUUUAGGAGCAUACCCACCACCUGGUGGUCAAAGUGACAAGUGAACAUUUUCACAACCGGGGAAUAGAAAAGAAUAUGGAUGUGCCAGAAGAAGGAAAAUGUACAAUGAACCCGGAUGUACCAUGUCGAGUGGAAUUCUCAAUUGACGAGACGCCAAUGUUCUGGUUUCGCACCCCCUCUGUGCGCGUGCUCCACUUUAUCCCCUGCAUUGCGCCUUCCGUCCCAGACACCCCCGGCUUCUACGGUGUCGACCGCUACUUUUCUGCCACGCCCACAUGUGGGUCAACGAUGGCACAUAUGUGCAACUGCUCGAGCAGGCGAUGAUGAAGGUGAGCGUCUGCUCGGUGGGGGCAGUGGAGAGCGAUGAUGAUGCCGGUGUGGACAUGAAGGCGGACGAAUCUAUUGCAAAGUUCUAUGCGUAGAGGACUGCACUAGCAAGUCUCGGGGCUGCAAUACAAUGACUUGAUGGGGAGGAGCAUCUGGUAGAUAUACAUAGUGUUAGAUUGCUUUUGGACAAGUCAUCGUAUGUAAUGCAUCUUCAAACCAGGUAUAUAACCUGCUGCUACUCCCCAAGUUUAAUAUACUUCCACCUCUAAUGGAUUUGGUCUACAUUA